RNAcentral lists this ribosomal RNA (249 nucleotides) under uncultured Pseudomonas sp. Its description in RNAcentral is "partial 16S ribosomal RNA". It matches the Rfam family "Bacterial small subunit ribosomal RNA", at positions 103 to 355 of the family's 1533-position model. Lineage: Bacteria; Pseudomonadati; Pseudomonadota; Gammaproteobacteria; Pseudomonadales; Pseudomonadaceae. The record is from RNAcentral.
CGGGUGAGUAAUGCCUAGGAAUCUGCCUGGUAGUGGGGGACAACGUUUCGAAAGGAACGCUAAUACCGCAUACGUCCUACGGGAGAAAGCAGGGGACCUUCGGGCCUUGCGCUAUCAGAUGAGCCUAGGUCGGAUUAGCUAGUUGGUGAGGUAAUGGCUCACCAAGGCGACGAUCCGUAACUGGUCUGAGAGGAUGAUCAGUCACACUGGAACUGAGACACGGUCCAGACUCCUAGGGAGGCAGCAGCU